RNAcentral lists this ribosomal RNA (205 nucleotides) under uncultured bacterium. RNAcentral describes it as "partial 16S ribosomal RNA". It matches the Rfam family "Bacterial small subunit ribosomal RNA", at positions 524 to 728 of the family's 1533-position model. The record is from RNAcentral.
UACGUAGGGGGCUAGCGUUGUCCGGAUUUAUUGGGCGUAAAGAGCGUGUAGGCGGCCAGGUAGGUCUGCUGUGAAAACUCGAGGCUCAACCUCGAGACGUCGGCGGAAACCAUCUGGCUAGAGUCCGGAAGAGGAGAGUGGAAUUCCUGGUGUAGCGGUGAAAUGCGCAGAUAUCAGGAAGAACACCCGUGGCGAAGGCGGGUCU